CACACACACACACACACGCCCCCUCCCACCCCCCCGGAGCCCCAAAAUGACCGGGCUAAAGGCAGCACGAUUUCAGCACCUGGGUCCAGAGGACCGCUCCCGGCGGGCGCGCCACAGCGCUGCGCGGAGGCUGAGCUCAAGGGACAAUGAGUUUCCUUAAUGCCUAUAAACUGAGAGUCCCUGGAGUUCAGGGAGCUGGGCAGGGUUUGGCCGUGAAGAAAGGGCUCCAGAGAAGAAAUCAGAUCGGGAACAUCCUCUCCCUCCCCCUCUGAUGGCCUCCUCAUCUCCACCCCCUGGAAGAACAGCCUUGAAUUGGCUCGGAGGAAGAUUCUCCUUUAAAAACGGAUUCCCUGUCCUCGCCCACUUUCCCCUGCCCGUCAGCAGACGGGAGCAAACCUGAACCACCAGGACAACGUUUGCAUCACCCCACUAGGCUCUGCUGUUUUUUGAGGACAGAGGGAGUCGGCAUUGAGGACAUGCUAAAAAAACAACUCGUCGCCAGCUUUUUUUUAUUUUUAGCUCUACGUAUGUAUGUAUGUUAUUGCCUUUGCGGCAGUGGGGAGUCCUGCAGUCAGGAGAAAUAUCAAUGGGAGGAAGACGCCUCUAGUACUUGCACUGAAGAUGGAUUAUCACAUGGGGUCGCCAGAUGUGGUCAGACAGACUGGAAAACAUACCACGUUCGCAGAGUUUCAAUGAAGUCUUCUCGGAUUAAUGAAAAUGUCAGGCUAAGCGUGUGUUUAAAGGCACAGUGGAUCUAUAGGGGUAGAAAUAUAUACACGCCCUAGAUUUACACGUACAGACAGAUACAUUCACACCCUCCAGAGGGUGUGUAUAGGUGUUAGAUCAUUCAUCGGUGGUCAGCGUAUUAAAGCACGUAAUUUAAAUGUG
Molecule: long non-coding RNA, 888 nt
Organism: Ornithorhynchus anatinus (platypus)
Lineage: Eukaryota; Metazoa; Chordata; Mammalia; Monotremata; Ornithorhynchidae
Exons: 2
Source: RefSeq, a predicted model, not a curated record